RNAcentral lists this ribosomal RNA (307 nucleotides) under uncultured Leptolinea sp. Its description in RNAcentral is "bacterial SSU rRNA". It matches the Rfam family "Bacterial small subunit ribosomal RNA", at positions 1061 to 1382 of the family's 1533-position model. The record is from RNAcentral. Lineage: Bacteria; Bacillati; Chloroflexota; Anaerolineae; Anaerolineales; Anaerolineaceae.
CGUGUCGUGAGAUGUUCGGUUAAGUCCGCUAACGAGCGCAACCCUCGCUGUGUGUUACAAGUGUCACACGGUACUGCCGGUCUUAAGCCGGAGGAAGGUGGGGAUGACGUCAAGUCAGCAUGGCCUUUAUGUCCUGGGCUACACACACGCUACAAUGGCCAACACAAUAGGUUGCUAAGCCGCGAGGUGGAGCCAAUCCUCAAAGUUGGUCUCAGUUCAGAUUGCAGGCUGCAACCCGCCUGCAUGAAGAUGGAGUUGCUAGUAACCGCAGGUCAGCUAUACUGCGGUGAAUACGUUCCCGGGGCUU